AUACGAAGGGUGCAAGCGUUACUCGGAAUUACUGGGCGUAAAGCGUGCGUAGGUGGUUGUUUAAGUCUGUCGUGAAAGCCCUGGGCUCAACCUGGGAACUGCGAUGGAAACUGGGCAACUAGAGUGUGGUAGAGGGUAGCGGAAUUCCUGGUGUAGCAGUGAAAUGCGUAGAUAUCAGGAGGAACAUCCAUGGCGAAGGCAGCUACCUGGGCCAACACUGACACUGAGGCACGAAAGCGUGGGGAGCAAACAGGAUUAGAUACCCUGGUAGUCCACGCCCUAAACGAUGCGAACUGGAUGUUGGGUGCACUUUGGCACGCAGUAUCGAAGCUAACGCGUUAAGUUCGCCGCCUGGGGAGUACGGUCGCAAGACUGAAACUCAAAGGAAUUGACGGGG
Molecule: ribosomal RNA, 397 nt
Filed under: uncultured bacterium
Lineage: Bacteria
Description: partial 16S ribosomal RNA
Rfam family: Bacterial small subunit ribosomal RNA
Source: RNAcentral